GAUGAAGAUCGCAGCGAAAUGCGAUACGUAAUGUGAAUUGCAGAAUUCAGUGAAUCAUCGAGUCUUUGAACGCACAUUGCGCCCCCUGGUAUUCCGGGGGGCAUGCCUGUCCGAGCGUCAUUGCUGCCCUCAAGCACGGCUUGUGUGUUGGGCCUCCGUCCUCCUCCCGGGGGACGGGCCCGAAAGGCAGCGGCGGCACCGCGUCCGGUCCUCGAGCGUAUGGGGCUUCGUCACCCGCUCUUGUAGGCCCGGCCGGCGCUUGCCGACACAUCAAUCUUUUUUCCAGGUUGACCUCGGAUCAGGUAGGGAUACCCGCUGAACUUAAGCAUAUCAAUAAGCGGAGGA
Molecule: unclassified non-coding RNA, 345 nt
Filed under: soil metagenome
Description: partial contains 5.8S ribosomal RNA, internal transcribed spacer 2, and large subunit ribosomal RNA
Rfam family: 5.8S ribosomal RNA (bases 1-120)
Source: RNAcentral